GGACAGGUGUCCGAGUGGCUGAAGGAGCCGGUCUCGAAAACCGGUGUGCCGGUAACGGUACCGUGGGUUCGAAUCCCACCCUGUCCG
RNAcentral lists this transfer RNA (87 nucleotides) under Gemmatimonadaceae bacterium. RNAcentral describes it as "tRNA-Ser". It matches the Rfam family "tRNA". Rfam says of the family: Transfer RNA (tRNA) molecules are approximately 80 nucleotides in length. Their secondary structure includes four short double-helical elements and three loops (D, anti-codon, and T loops). Further hydrogen bonds mediate the characteristic L-shaped molecular structure. tRNAs have two regions of fundamental functional importance: the anti-codon, which is responsible for specific mRNA codon recognition, and the 3' end, to which the tRNAs corresponding amino acid is attached (by aminoacyl-tRNA synthetases). tRNAs cope with the degeneracy of the genetic code in two manners: having more than one tRNA (with a specific anti-codon) for a particular amino acid; and 'wobble' base-pairing, i.e. permitting non-standard base-pairing at the 3rd anti-codon position. RNAcentral also lists the same sequence under 1 other name. Lineage: Bacteria; Pseudomonadati; Gemmatimonadota; Gemmatimonadia; Gemmatimonadales; Gemmatimonadaceae. The record is from RNAcentral.